RNAcentral lists this ribosomal RNA (465 nucleotides) under uncultured bacterium. RNAcentral describes it as "partial 16S ribosomal RNA". It matches the Rfam family "Bacterial small subunit ribosomal RNA", at positions 338 to 795 of the family's 1533-position model. The record is from RNAcentral.
CCUACGGGAGGCAGCAGUAGGGAAUCUUCCACAAUGGACGAAAGUCUGAUGGAGCAACGCCGCGUGAGUGAAGAAGGGUUUCGGCUCGUAAAGCUCUGUUGGUAGUGAAGAAAGAUAGAGGUAGUAACUGGCCUUUAUUUGACGGUAAUUACUUAGAAAGUCACGGCUAACUACGUGCCAGCAGCCGCGGUAAUACGUAGGUGGCAAGCGUUGUCCGGAUUUAUUGGGCGUAAAGCGAGUGCAGGCGGUUCAAUAAGUCUGAUGUGAAAGCCUUCGGCUCAACCGGAGAAUUGCAUCAGAAACUGUUGAACUAGAUUGCAGGAGAGGUAAGUGGAAUUCCUAGUGUAGCGGUGAAAUGCGUAGAUAUUAGGAGGAACACCAGUGGCGAAGGCGGCUUACUGGACUGUAAAUGACGCUGAGGCUCGAAAGCGUGGGGAGCAAACAGGAUUAGAUACCCUAGUAGUC